RNAcentral lists this ribosomal RNA (301 nucleotides) under uncultured bacterium. RNAcentral describes it as "partial 16S ribosomal RNA". It matches the Rfam family "Bacterial small subunit ribosomal RNA", at positions 509 to 809 of the family's 1533-position model. The record is from RNAcentral.
CAGCAGCCGCGGUAAUACGAGGGGGGCAAGCGUUGUUCGGAAUUAUUGGGCGUAAAGGGUGCGUAGGCGGCUUGACAAGUCUUGUGUGAAAUCUAUGGGCUCAACCCAUAGUCUGCACGGGAAACUGUCGGGCUUGAGAAUGGGAGAGGUGAGUGGAAUUUCCGGUGUAGCGGUGAAAUGCGUAGAUAUCGGAAGGAACACCUGUGGCGAAAGCGGCUCACUGGACCAUUUCUGACGCUGAUGCACGAAAGCUAGGGGAGCAAACAGGAUUAGAUACCCGAGUAGUCCCUGUCUCUUAUAA